Molecule: long non-coding RNA, 1617 nt
Filed under: Mytilus galloprovincialis (Mediterranean mussel)
Lineage: Eukaryota; Metazoa; Mollusca; Bivalvia; Mytilida; Mytilidae
Source: RNAcentral
AAAUUCAGAAAUUCUUGUGUGCAAUUAUUAUUGCAAUUUUGUCAUUUUAUACUAAAAUGCAAUUUUUAUUUUUACAAUAUUGAGAAAAUACUGUGUAAGUCAAAUAAAAAAUUUCAAAAUGCAAAUUUAAAUUAUUGCGAUUAUAACCUAAUUGCAUUUUUUGCAAUAAUAUAAACAUGGAAUUGAUUCCUGAAUUAACAGUAGACAAUUCAUAAGCUUUUACAUCCAUUCCAAUUUUUUUUAUUCAUUCCAGUACAAUUAUGCUUGUUAUUAUAUUUUUUGCUUUUUGUAUAAAACUGCCAUAUUUAUUUAUUGCCUUGAACUUUAAUAAAACUGGUGUGCUGUUUGUGACGAUUUGUUUGAAUCUAUAGUUUGUUUGUGACUGAGAGAGACUUAAGCCUUAACUCGUAAGUAGUGUUGCUAAGUGUUGGGUAAAAUAGUCUCGCUUGAAAUGGCGUUCAGCAGCUGUGUUUUUUUUCCUAAGCAAACAUUUUUAUACAUGAAUUUUUAUUUUAUCUGCCAUAUUAAGAGUUAAAAUGAUUCCCUGUUUAUUUAUUUUUUUUCUAAUUCUGUCACAAAACAAAACAUUUUAUGUUAUAAUUUCAAAUAUAAAGAUUGUGUUUUCCAAUGUCACUAAUUAAAUUGAAACAGCUUAGUUCAAUCUUUGUAAUUUCCAGUAAGGCUGUAACCAAACUGUCCUCAAUACUUAUCAACUUAUAGUGAGGAUUGUAUAAAGUAGACCCAAGGAAGGGGAAAUAAAUAUCAAUAGUAUGUUUAGUUCUUCCAUUUUAAUAAAUUCUGUUUCAUUUCACAUGAAUACCUAAAAAGAAUUGUGGUAUCUGGCUAAUACAAACUAAGUACUGAUCUAAAAAUUAUUAUCUCCCUUUAGCUAUGUUUAAACCAUUUAAUUGUAUUACUUUACCUCAUCAUUACACACAUUGCUUGGUGAGCUCAAUACAAUUGAGAAUGGAAAUGGGAAUGUGUCAAAGAGACAACAACCCAACCAUAGAGCAGACAACAGCCGAAGGCCACCAAUGUACUCUCCAAGGCAUUUUUUAUACUGAAUGCUUAAAUAUGUUUUGUGACAUUCUUAAGGAAAGUGGGCUUUGAAAAUAAGAGUUUUGUGAGUAACUUGACUGGAUUGAAGGAAAUGGGGUAAUAUUUAUACUCAAAUUUUAUAUUAUUUAAAUGGCAUUUUCUUUUUAUUUCUUUAGUGUUAUCUGGUUUCUAACUAAAUAUUUUACAUAUAAUUGUUCGCAAAUUAUUUGUUUAUGAUUUAUUAUUAUUUUAAAUCUUAUCUAUUACCUCAAAUUAAGUUAUGAUUGUUUUCUAACAGAGAAUGUGUACCAAAAAACAACUUUAAAAGGAAAGUUCUAGUCUAAAACAGAAAAAAAACUAUUGUAAAAAUUCUUAUUUGAUUGGAAUUAUACCAACUUAGCCUCAAGUUUCUAUUUGGUUUCCAAAACAUGAGAGGAAAACCAAUUUUGAAGUGCCUUUGUUCCUUUGUUUUCUAAAUGUGUACUUCAUUAGUGCAAUAAACAAUGAUGUGCAAUUACAGAACUUUAUCCAAUUGAUUGUUACAGAAUUUAAUGCAUUAUGGGUAAACUUUAUCCAAUU